AUCAAGUUUGGAACAAGCUCUUCAAUGACAACUUGAUUGUAACAAGCUUGAUGGCAUUAUCAGAGGUGUAGCAAAGUUGUUCUAACAAGUUUGAUACAGUUAAAAUAUAACAAGAAUGGUUCAAUUAAGGAUGGCGAUACAAGGUUGUAACAAUAUUGUUAUAUCAUGACCGUGUCGGACUUGUUGGAACAACCUUGCAACAAGCAGUACAAUUUCAACAAGGUUGUUACAAGUUGUUAACAGCUUGUUCCAAGCUUGUU
Molecule: microRNA precursor, 260 nt
Filed under: Paramuricea clavata
Lineage: Eukaryota; Metazoa; Cnidaria; Anthozoa; Malacalcyonacea; Plexauridae
Source: RNAcentral